This 205-nucleotide ribosomal RNA is filed under the name uncultured bacterium. RNAcentral describes it as "partial 16S ribosomal RNA". It matches the Rfam family "Bacterial small subunit ribosomal RNA", at positions 568 to 774 of the family's 1533-position model. The record is from RNAcentral.
UGCGUAGGCGGUGCUCUAAGUCGGAUGUGAAAACUCUGGGCUCAACCCAGAGCCUGCAUCCGAAACUGGAGUGCUAGAGUUCUGGAGGGGGUAGCGGAAUUCCUGGUGUAGCGGUGAAAUGCGUAGAUAUCAUGAGGAACACCGGUGGCGAAGGCGGCUACCUGGACAGAAACUGACGCUGAGGCAAAGACUAGGGGAGCAAACA